GACGAACGCUGGCGGCGUGCUUAACACAUGCAAGUCGAACGAUGAAGCUGGAGCUUGCUCCGGUGGAUUAGUGGCGAACGGGUGAGUAACACGUGAGUAAUCUGCCCUUGACUCUGGGAUAACUGCGGGAAACUGUAGCUAAUACCGGAUACGACACCUUCGGGCAUCCGAUGGGUGUGGAAAGAAUUUCGGUCAAGGAUGAACUCGCGGCCGAUCAGCUAGUUGGUGAGGUAAGGGCUCACCAAGGCGACGACGGGUAGCCGGCCUGAGAGGGUGACCGGCCACACUGGGACUGAGACACGGCCCAGACUCCUACGGGAGGCAGCAGUGGGGAAUAUUGCACAAUGGGCGAAAGCCUGAUGCAGCAACGCCGCGUGAGGGAUGAAGGCCUUCGGGUUGUAAACCUCUUUUAGUUGGGAAGAAGCGAAAGUGACGGUACCAACAGAAAAAGCACCGGCUAACUACGUGCCAGCCGCCGCGGUAA
This 484-nucleotide ribosomal RNA is filed under the name uncultured bacterium. RNAcentral's name for it is "partial 16S ribosomal RNA". It matches the Rfam family "Bacterial small subunit ribosomal RNA", at positions 28 to 523 of the family's 1533-position model. The record is from RNAcentral.